This 781-nucleotide long non-coding RNA is filed under the name Brassica rapa (field mustard). Its description in RNAcentral is "long non-coding RNA (BRAP_LNC001390)". Lineage: Eukaryota; Viridiplantae; Streptophyta; Magnoliopsida; Brassicales; Brassicaceae. The record is from RNAcentral.
CACGGAGGAACCUCUUCAAUGGCUGUUUCGCUUAGAUAGAGCCAUUGGAUGUUGGUAGAGAUAUCAGGAAAUGUCCUCAACCUUGAGCACCCACUGAGAUUUAGUUCCCUGAGAGAUUGGAGGUUGAUUCCGGUGGGAAGAGUCUCCAGAUUUAUGCAUCCCUUCAUCUUUAGGAUUUCAAGCUUGGAGAAUUUCUCAAUCCAACAAGGAACCUCUUCAAUAGCUGUUUCGUUUAGAUUGAGCCUUACGAUAUUGGUUGAGAUAUUAGGAAAAGUCCUCAACUUUGAGCAUCCACUCAUCUUUAGCUUCAAAAGACAAAAGAAAAAUUUCCCAAUCCAACAAGGAACCUCUUCAAUCCCUGUUUCGCUUAGAUUGAGCCUUCUGAUAUUGGUUGAGAUAUUAGGAAAAGUCCUCAACUUUGAGCAUCCACUGAGAUUGAGUAUAUCAAGAUAUCGGUGGUCCAGAUCUAGAACAGUCUCCAGAUUUAUGCAACCAUUCAUGUAUAGGACUCUAAGCCGGGAGAAUUUCUCAAUCCACCAAGGAACCUCUUCAAUGGCUGUUUCGCUUAGAUAGAGACAUACGAUGUUGGUAGAGAUACCAGGAAAAGUCCUCAACCUUGAGCAUCCAUUAAGAUAUAGAAACGACAGAGUUUGGAGGUUGAUUCCGGUGGGAAGAGUCUCCAGAUUUAUGCAAUCAUUCAUGUAUAGGACUUCAAGCCUGGAGAAUUUCUCAAUCCAACAAGGAACCUCUUCAAUCUCUGUUUCGUUUAGAUUGAGCGUUU